RNAcentral lists this transfer RNA (72 nucleotides) under Camelus bactrianus (Bactrian camel). It matches the Rfam family "tRNA". From Rfam's summary of the family: Transfer RNA (tRNA) molecules are approximately 80 nucleotides in length. Their secondary structure includes four short double-helical elements and three loops (D, anti-codon, and T loops). Lineage: Eukaryota; Metazoa; Chordata; Mammalia; Artiodactyla; Camelidae. RNAcentral also lists the same sequence under 2 other names. The record is from Rfam by way of RNAcentral.
UGGGGUAUAGCUCAGUGGUACAGUGCCUACUUAGCAUGCACGAGGUCCUGAGUUCAAUCCCCAGUACCUUCA